GCCUCGGUAGUCUAAAGGCUUAGGACGUUCGCACGAUAUGCAAGAAAUCUGGGUUCGACUCCCGGCCGAGGUA
RNAcentral lists this transfer RNA (73 nucleotides) under Trachymyrmex cornetzi. It matches the Rfam family "tRNA". From Rfam's summary of the family: Transfer RNA (tRNA) molecules are approximately 80 nucleotides in length. The record is from Rfam by way of RNAcentral. Lineage: Eukaryota; Metazoa; Arthropoda; Insecta; Hymenoptera; Formicidae.